RNAcentral lists this ribosomal RNA (118 nucleotides) under Pteropus alecto (black flying fox). The record is from RNAcentral. Lineage: Eukaryota; Metazoa; Chordata; Mammalia; Chiroptera; Pteropodidae.
GUCUACGGCCAUGCCACCCUGAACAAGCCCAAUCCCAUUUGAUCUUGGAAGCUAAGCAGGGUCGAGUCUGGUUAGUACUUGGAUAAGAGACCACCUAGGAAGUCUGGUCUCUUGGAUA